This 233-nucleotide long non-coding RNA is filed under the name Gossypium raimondii (Peruvian cotton). Its description in RNAcentral is "long non-coding RNA (GRAI_LNC008831)". Lineage: Eukaryota; Viridiplantae; Streptophyta; Magnoliopsida; Malvales; Malvaceae. The record is from RNAcentral.
UUCAUUUUCAUUUUACACGCAGACAGGUAGGCAAAUUGUGUUUAACAGUCAAAAAAAAAGGGAGACUUUCUAGUUUCUAUUACUGCACAUGGCCAAAUUAGUGGCUAUACGUGCAUGGCAGCCAUUUGUGAGGAGACUCUGGUUGAAUGCCUCGUCAAAAUCUCGUCAUCUUCCAUUAAGUUUAGGGUAGGAUUUUUCGUGGCAUAAUCUAAAGAGUCAUUGUCUAGGUUGAA